UUGAACGCUGGCGGCAUGCCUAACACAUGCAAGUCGCACGGGGGAUGGUAGCUUGCUACUAUUCUUAGUGGCGGACGGGUGAGUAACGCAUAGGAAUCUGCCUUUGGGAGGGGGAUAACUGAGGGAAACUUCAGCUAAUACCACAUAAUGUCUACGGACCAAACGCGGGGGACCUUCGGGCCUCGCACUCAGAGAGGAGCCUAUGCCGGAUUAGCUAGUUGGUGGGGUAAAGGCCUACCAAGGCGAAGAUCCGUAGCUGGUUCGAGAGAAUGGCCAGCCACACUGGGACUGAGACACGGCCCAGACUCCUACGGGAGGCAGCAGUGGGGAAUAUUGGACAAUGGGGGCAACCCUGAUCCAGCAAUGCCGCGUGAGUGAAGAAGGCCUUCGGGUUGUAAAGCUCUUUUGUGGGGGAGGAAGCGCUGUUGUGAAUAAUGACAGUGGUUGACGUUACCCCAAGAAUAAGCACCGGCUAACUCUGU
This 482-nucleotide ribosomal RNA is filed under the name uncultured bacterium. RNAcentral describes it as "bacterial SSU rRNA". It matches the Rfam family "Bacterial small subunit ribosomal RNA", at positions 30 to 506 of the family's 1533-position model. The record is from RNAcentral.